UGGAAGACAUGUUGAGAGCUUGUACCAUGGACCUAGGUGGAGGCUGGGACGACCACAUACCUCUGGUAGAGUUUGCCUACAACAACAGUUACCAUUCCAGCAUCCAAAUGGCGCCAUAUGAAGCUCUAUAUGGAAGAAAAUGCCGAUCUCCUUUACAUUGGGAUGAGGUCGGAGAGCGAAAACUACUCGGUCCUGAAUUGGUCCAGAGUGCUAGAGAUAAGGUACUGCUAAUAACGCGGAGACUACAAGCCGCUCAGGACAGACAGAAACGAUGGGCUGACAAAGGCAGGAGGAAAUUGGAAUUUUUGGAGGGGAACUUUGUCUUCCUAAAAAUUUCUCCGUCAAGGGGUGUUACCCGAUUUGGGCGGCACGGUAAACUGAGUCCCCGCUACAUCGGCCCAUUCGAGGUUUUCGCUAAAGUGGGCAAGGUCGCCUACAAGCUGGCCCUACCUCCAGAGUUAUCAGGAGUACACGACGUCUUUCACGUCUCCCUCCUACGCAGGUACAUCCCAGAUCCCAGCCAUGUAUUAUAGUAUGAACCCUUGCAGAUAAAUGAAGACCUGACCUAUGAGGAAGCUCCUCUGCGCAUCGUCGAUAAGAAGGAGCAAAUUCUUCGGAGGCGUACCAUCCCUUAUGUCAAAAUUCAGUGGGCCAACCACACUAAACGGGAAGCCACCUGGGAACUUGAAGAGGAGAUGCGCCAAAGUUACCCCCAGCUCUUCAAAGAUAGAGGUAUGUAUAAUUUCGCGGACGAAAUUUAUUUUAAGGGGGGUAGGAUGUAAUGUCCGGGCCCACAACCUACUAGGCCCAAUAGGAAAUAGGCCCAGUUAAGGGUUUGGGCCCAAAUUUCACUGUGGGCAGUAUUAUUAUAAUGGCUAUCAGGAAGAGGUUGCCACCUCCUUCCUGCUCUGAAACGAAAGGAUAAGACCGACAGGGAAGGGUUACCUCACGCCCUAGACGGUAAGCCAGGCACCAUGGCAGAGCAGGGAGAGGUGGCUAGGGUCACCUCACGCCCCAGACGGUAAGCCAGGCACCAUGGCAGAGCAGGGAGAGGUGGCUAGGGUCACCUCACGCCCCAAGUGGUGAGCCAGGCACCAUGGCAGAGCAGGGGGCAGCUGUGAGUCCCGGAGCCAGAGGAUAAGGGAGGAUAAGGGGGAUGGGACUUCACAGAAGGAAAUCCCCAGCCAUGCAAACCCUGGGACGGUGACCUCACCCCUGCUGGCAGCCGA
This 1229-nucleotide long non-coding RNA is filed under the name Phoenix dactylifera (date palm). RNAcentral's name for it is "long non-coding RNA (PDAC_LNC002069)". The record is from RNAcentral. Lineage: Eukaryota; Viridiplantae; Streptophyta; Magnoliopsida; Arecales; Arecaceae.